This is a long non-coding RNA of Perca fluviatilis (European perch), 1471 nucleotides long. RefSeq lists it as uncharacterized. The record is from RefSeq and is a predicted model, not a curated record. The transcript is spliced from 3 exons. Lineage: Eukaryota; Metazoa; Chordata; Actinopteri; Perciformes; Percidae.
UGUUGGACGGACAGCCUUGGUCGGACACCCCUCCGCAGUGGUUGGAGACACAGCUGUUUGGUUGGACGCAUCAUCCGGCAGUCCUUUACAGAAGCAUUUUUCAUGGGGAGGAGCUCACGCUGAUCACGGAUAUCUUGUCCCGGGAUCGCAGCAGCGUAGUGUUCCGGCUGCUCUCUCUCCACAUUCCGGAGUAGCUCACGCUGAUCGCGGAUAUCCUGUCCCCGGAUGAAAAGCCUCUGUCGUCGGAUGCGCAGCCCCUCUCGUCGGAUGCACAGCCCCUGAGAGUGUGUUCAGCCACAGACAAUUCCGAAAUGUUCAACACGAGCUAGACACUGUACCCUCAAUAUUCCUCUUCACUGUCAACUGUGGAAUUAUAUCCACCGUGAAACGCACUCCUGGCAGUAUCCGGGCCUUUGGAGGCUUUGGUGCGUUGGACUACGUGUUUGCUAUUGCAACGCUCUGACGCAUGUCGCUCACGCUCUAGAGCUUGGGAUAGCUGCUGAGGCUGACGAAGACACUUGGAGUUUUUGGGCCCUGGGAUGUUGCCGUGGGACAUAGGUGGGGCCGAAGGGUAGUUGUUACACAUGUUAGUCUCGAGCCAGCUCGCGGGUAUGUCGACUAAAGGAGCUGUGGGCUUCUUGGCUUCCCAGUGAGACAUGCGGAUCCAGCGGUUGUGUGUCACAGGCCACGCGGAACUCAUGCAGUAACGAAACAAAAGAUAUAUGUAGUAUCUGGAGAGUUUGCGAUUGUCCACGACUAUCGACUCGGGGAUUUGGGUUUCGCGAUACACCGUGCUAGCGCACUCCAUAGUGUGGAGAGACUCUAGGUCUGCCCUGGGUGUGUACAAUGUGUCGGCUCUCUGCCACAUAUCUCUCAAGUGCUUCAAGGUAGUCUGGAGAGAGCUUUCGCAUUUCAACGUGUCGUGCAGCAAACCCGUGGCUGGCGCACCUGCCACAAUCAGGCACUCAAAGAGCGACAACGACGCGUUUUCAGAGAACACAAUUCCUCUGCGAGAAACCGAACCACCGCUCAUCUCGUAUUAUUUACUAACCCAGAUAUGAACACGGGGCGCGCGGGUGUUGAUGAUCUCGCCAAAAUGGCCCAGAUACAGGUUCCAGACAACCUGGACAAACUGAUGCAUCUGGUGGGGCGGUACAAUCUGUUUUACGUUAAGACCUUGCGUUACAAUGACUUGCGCGGCGUGCUGGACUGGCUCGGAGUACAGUGUGGCGAUUUAGCAUUCAGCCAACACGAAGACACGGUUACAGUGCUCAAUAGGCUUCUCCCAUCGCGCCGUGACGUGGCGGUGGUGAGUAUAGACACGGAACCAGAAAUCGAGGGAAAGACACGCGUAAUUGUAUACAUAAAAGGGGAUCAUGGGCAAGCGCAAGCGGUAUGACUCUAUAGUAUUGUUCCUAGUAGUCAACUUCAAUGGCACUCCAUACAAUCAGGAUGCCAACAUCAUCUUCAA